GAAGGUGGCGCUUGGUUAUUCUACUGAUAGCCAAAAGUCAGUCGUAUAAUCAACGUGCCGCACUCAC
RNAcentral lists this microRNA precursor (67 nucleotides) under Echinococcus granulosus. Its description in RNAcentral is "microRNA egr-mir-10227e precursor". Lineage: Eukaryota; Metazoa; Platyhelminthes; Cestoda; Cyclophyllidea; Taeniidae. The record is from miRBase by way of RNAcentral.